Molecule: ribosomal RNA, 484 nt
Filed under: uncultured bacterium
Lineage: Bacteria
Description: partial 16S ribosomal RNA
Rfam family: Bacterial small subunit ribosomal RNA
Source: RNAcentral
AUUGAACGCUGGCGGCAUGCUUUACACAUGCAAGUCGAACGGCAGCGCGGGCUUCGGCCUGGCUGCGAGUGGCGAACGGGUGAGUAAUGCAUCGGAACGUGCCCAGCUGUGGGGUAUAGCCCGGCGAAGGCCGGAUUAAUACCGCAUACGACCUGAGGGUGAACGCGGGGGACCGAAAGGCCUUGCGCUCUUGGGGCGGCCGAUGUCGGAUUAGCUAGUUGGUGGGGUAAAGGCUUACCAAGGCGACGAUCCGUAGCUGGUCUGAGAGGACGACCAGCCACACGGGGACUGAGACACGGACCAGACUCCUACGGGAGGCAGCAGUGGGGAAUUUUGGACAAUGGGGGCAACCCUGAUCCAGCCAUGCCGCGUGCGGGAAGAAGGCCUUCGGGUUGUAAACCGCUUUUGUUCGGGAAGAAAUCCUCUGGGCUAAUACCCCGGGGGGAUGACGGUACCGGAAGAAUAAGCACCGGCUAACUACGUG